GGUUGAUCCUGCCAGUAGUCAUAUGCUUGUCUCAAAGAUUAAGCCAUGCAUGUCUAAGUAUAAGCAAUUAUACCGCGAAACUGCGAAUGGCUCAUUAUAUAAGUUAUCGUUUAUUUGAUAGCACAUUUACCUACUUGGAUAACCGUGGUAAUUCUAGAGCUAAUACAUGCUAAAAAUCCCGACUUCGGAAGGGAUGUAUUUAUUAGAUUAAAAGCCAACGCCCUUCGGGGCUUCUUGGUGAUUCAUGAUAACUUGUCGAAUCGCAUGGCCUUGUGCCGGCGAUGGUUCAUUC
Molecule: ribosomal RNA, 292 nt
Filed under: uncultured eukaryote
Lineage: Eukaryota
Description: partial 18S ribosomal RNA
Rfam family: Eukaryotic small subunit ribosomal RNA
Source: RNAcentral